This 742-nucleotide ribosomal RNA is filed under the name Streptomyces griseoaurantiacus. Its description in RNAcentral is "bacterial SSU rRNA". It matches the Rfam family "Bacterial small subunit ribosomal RNA", at positions 38 to 793 of the family's 1533-position model. The record is from RNAcentral. Lineage: Bacteria; Bacillati; Actinomycetota; Actinomycetes; Kitasatosporales; Streptomycetaceae.
GGCGACGCGCUGCUUACACAUGCAGUCGACGAUGAACCACUUCGGUGGGGAUUAGUGGCGAACGGGUGAGUAACACGUGGGCAAUCUGCCCUGCACUCUGGGACAAGCCCUGGAAACGGGGUCUAAUACCGGAUACAACCACUGACCGCAUGGUCGGGUGGUGGAAAGCUCCGGCGGUGCAGGAUGAGCCCGCGGCCUAUCAGCUUGUUGGUGAGGUAGUGGCUCACCAAGGCGACGACGGGUAGCCGGCCUGAGAGGGCGACCGGCCACACUGGGACUGAGACACGGCCCAGACUCCUACGGGAGGCAGCAGUGGGGAAUAUUGCACAAUGGGCGAAAGCCUGAUGCAGCGACGCCGCGUGAGGGAUGACGGCCUUCGGGUUGUAAACCUCUUUCAGCAGGGAAGAAGCGAAAGUGACGGUACCUGCAGAAGAAGCGCCGGCUAACUACGUGCCAGCAGCCGCGGUAAUACGUAGGGCGCAAGCGUUGUCCGGAAUUAUUGGGCGUAAAGAGCUCGUAGGCGGCUUGUCGCGUCGGUUGUGAAAGCCCGGGGCUUAACCCCGGGUCUGCAGUCGAUACGGGCAGGCUAGAGUUCGGUAGGGGAGAUCGGAAUUCCUGGUGUAGCGGUGAAAUGCGCAGAUAUCAGGAGGAACACCGGUGGCGAAGGCGGAUCUCUGGGCCGAUACUGACGCUGAGGACGAAAGCGUGGGGAAAAAAAAAAAGGAAAAGCGGGGGUUGGAAG